RNAcentral lists this ribosomal RNA (180 nucleotides) under Cortinarius uraceus. RNAcentral describes it as "partial 28S ribosomal RNA". It matches the Rfam family "Eukaryotic large subunit ribosomal RNA", at positions 1 to 175 of the family's 3401-position model. Lineage: Eukaryota; Fungi; Basidiomycota; Agaricomycetes; Agaricales; Cortinariaceae. The record is from RNAcentral.
UUUGACCUCAAAUCAGGUAGGACUACCCGCUGAACUUAAGCAUAUCAAUAAGCGGAGGAAAAGAAACUAACAAGGAUUCCCCUAGUAACUGCGAGUGAAGCGGGAAAAGCUCAAAUUUAAAAUCUGGCGGUCUUCUGGCUGUCCGAGUUGUAAUCUAGAGAAGUGUUAUCCGCGCUGGAC